Molecule: transfer RNA, 68 nt
Filed under: Phyllodactylus saxatilis
Lineage: Eukaryota; Metazoa; Chordata; Lepidosauria; Squamata; Phyllodactylidae
Description: partial tRNA-Gln
Source: RNAcentral
GUAGUAUAAGAUUGGAAGUACGUGAGGUUUUGAGCCUUGGUGUGCGGGUUCGAGACCCGGUUUCCUAG